GUGGGGAAUCUUAGACAAUGGGCGCAAGCCUGAUCUAGCCAUGCCGCGUGAGCGAUGAAGGCCUUAGGGUUGUAAAGCUCUUUCAGGGGGGAAGAUAAUGACGGUACCCCCAGAAGAAGCCCCGGCUAACUCCGUGCCAGCAGCCGCGGUAAUACGGAGGGGGCUAGCGUUGUUCGGAAUUACUGGGCGUAAAGCGCACGUAGGCGGAUCAGAAAGUCAGAGGUGAAAUCCCAGGGCUCAACCUUGGAACUGCCUUUGAAACUCCUGGUCUUGAGGUCGAGAGAGGUGAGUGGAAUUCCGAGUGUAGAGGUGAAAUUCGUAGAUAUUCGGAGGAACACCAGUGGCGAAGGCGGCUCACUGGCUCGAUACUGACGCUGAGGUGCGAAAGCGUGGGGAGCAAACAGGAUUAGAAACCCGAGUAGUCC
This 425-nucleotide ribosomal RNA is filed under the name uncultured bacterium. RNAcentral's name for it is "bacterial SSU rRNA". It matches the Rfam family "Bacterial small subunit ribosomal RNA", at positions 354 to 796 of the family's 1533-position model. The record is from RNAcentral.